GGUUUUUUAGUCCAUGGGGAUUGACGUCUUAAUUGGAGAGGAUAUGGAAUUGUAGAGCUGUGAAGAUGAUGACACGGCCCUCUUCCUCUCCGGUUUGCCUGCAGGGGUCUAGAUGAUUUCAUUCAUUUAGAAGCUUUCAGAAGCCAUGCUCAGGUGAAAGUGAGACACAGGAGACUCUCUCAAGCUGCAACUGUGAAGGAUUUUCCCAAGCAAACUAAUUAAAGCCUCCAUGCACCGUUCACUUUCACUGCCAGAACAUUCCGCCCCAAAUCUUUUGUCUUCUACGAAAGAAAGAGAAAACAUGUUUGGAACGACAUGAGGGUGAGUAAACAGUGAAUUUAUUAAUCAAUAUUAAUUCAACAAACCUUAACUUAGUUUGUGCGUAGUGCACAAUGAUUAGAUGAUUAGAACAAAAACUGUGUGAUGUCAUAAUGUGUGCUGAAGUCAUCACUGGGUCAAAGAUCUGUCAACACCAUUUUGAUCUUUAAGUAUAACCGCACAUGUCAAGCACUUGCUCUACGAUAUAAUUCUCCGUUUGAUGAAUGAAGAUGAAACGGUGCAUCAUAACGUUUCUUUCCCAGCAUGCCUCCAAAUCUCACACUUUCGGCG
This is a long non-coding RNA of Cyprinus carpio (common carp), 609 nucleotides long. RefSeq lists it as uncharacterized. The record is from RefSeq and is a predicted model, not a curated record. Lineage: Eukaryota; Metazoa; Chordata; Actinopteri; Cypriniformes; Cyprinidae. The transcript is spliced from 3 exons.